CAGCAGCAGCCACGGUAAUACGGAGGAUUCAAGCGUUAUCCGGAAUCAUUGGGUUUAAAGGGUCCGUAGGCGGUCUUGUAAGUCAGUGGUGAAAGCCCAUCGCUCAACGGUGGAACGGCCAUUGAUACUGCAGGACUUGAAUUAUUGGGAAGUAACUAGAAUAUGUAGUGUAGCGGUGAAAUGCUUAGAGAUUACAUGGAAUACCAAUUGCGAAGGCAGGUUACUACCAAUUGAUUGACGCUGAUGGACGAAAGCGUGGGUAGCGAACAGGAUUAGAUACCCGAGUAGUCCCUGUCUCUUAUAC
Molecule: ribosomal RNA, 304 nt
Filed under: uncultured bacterium
Lineage: Bacteria
Description: partial 16S ribosomal RNA
Rfam family: Bacterial small subunit ribosomal RNA
Source: RNAcentral